This 87-nucleotide transfer RNA is filed under the name Clostridiales bacterium. RNAcentral's name for it is "tRNA-Leu". It matches the Rfam family "tRNA". From Rfam's summary of the family: Transfer RNA (tRNA) molecules are approximately 80 nucleotides in length. Their secondary structure includes four short double-helical elements and three loops (D, anti-codon, and T loops). Further hydrogen bonds mediate the characteristic L-shaped molecular structure. tRNAs have two regions of fundamental functional importance: the anti-codon, which is responsible for specific mRNA codon recognition, and the 3' end, to which the tRNAs corresponding amino acid is attached (by aminoacyl-tRNA synthetases). tRNAs cope with the degeneracy of the genetic code in two manners: having more than one tRNA (with a specific anti-codon) for a particular amino acid; and 'wobble' base-pairing, i.e. permitting non-standard base-pairing at the 3rd anti-codon position. RNAcentral also lists the same sequence under 1 other name. The record is from RNAcentral. Lineage: Bacteria; Bacillati; Bacillota; Clostridia; Eubacteriales.
GCGGCCAUGGCGGAAUUGGCAGACGCGCUAGAUUCAGGUUCUAGUGAAGGUUUCUUCAUGGAGGUUCAAGUCCUCUUGGCCGCACCA